CUGUUACUGAGACAUGGUGCAAUGAGAAAAAUGACUGGGACAUAGCAAUACCAGGGUACUCUUUAUAUAGGAAAGAUAGGGAAGGCAAGAAAGGGGGAGGGGUGGCCUUGUAUGUGAAGGAUAGCAUAAAAUCUAGCCUAAUAAAAGUUAGUGAGGCAAACAUAGAGACCAUUUGGGCUACGUUAGAAUUUGGUAAUCACACAGUAACUCGUGUAGGUGUGAUUUAUAGGCCCCCAGGACAAAUUGAAGAGUUAGAUAAUCUACUAGUUGAGGAAAUAGCUAAAAUGACAAUGAAGGGGGAAGUUAUCAUCAUGGGUGACUUUAAUCUUCCUGAUGUAAAUUGGAAAACAAAAUUAGCUACUUGUGC
RNAcentral lists this long non-coding RNA (367 nucleotides) under Pelobates cultripes (western spadefoot toad). Lineage: Eukaryota; Metazoa; Chordata; Amphibia; Anura; Pelobatidae. The record is from RNAcentral.